GGCGAUCAGACCUAUAUAACUGGACGAAGAUCGAUAAAAUAGCGGCCCACUUUCAGCAGACAAUACACAGUGCCAUCUUUGUGGGUACAUUACUGCCUUCUUGGUCUGAGGACCGGCAAGUCGUCAACUUCGACUGGCUACAAAUAGAUGCGAUUCAAAGUCUCCAUGAAAUGUAGGCCUCUCCAAGAAAAUUAGGUGUUCCUGGGAAUAGUGUACCAAAGACUUGGAUAUUACGUUUUGCAAGUUUUCGAUUAAUGGCAGCAAUGAAUGGGUAUAUCAUGCGUCUUCUUGUAUCGAUUCUGUGCCUCCAGACUGUCCGAUCGCAAGUCACCAGCCCGUACCCGACCACAAACAUCGCCGGUUUGUCUGACGCACCAGUCUCGCCAUCAGUCGGCCCAUCGGCUGCUCAACCCGAAGUGACGACCAUCGAUGGCAGAUUCACGCUGUUCAGCCCAAGCGCGUCUGCAAACCCGUC
Long non-coding RNA from Patiria miniata (bat star), 475 nucleotides. RefSeq lists it as uncharacterized. Lineage: Eukaryota; Metazoa; Echinodermata; Asteroidea; Valvatida; Asterinidae. The transcript has 3 exons. The record is from RefSeq and is a predicted model, not a curated record.